RNAcentral lists this long non-coding RNA (1356 nucleotides) under Strigops habroptila (Kakapo). RNAcentral describes it as "lncRNA (ENSSHBG00005019995.1)". Lineage: Eukaryota; Metazoa; Chordata; Aves; Psittaciformes; Psittacidae. The record is from RNAcentral.
UGCUUUUCUUUGGUUUUUUUUUCAGAUAGAUACAUUGUACAUUGGUUCCAUUCUUGUAUAACAUGUCCCAUCUGAUGAAAGUGAUAAGGACUUUUGGAAAGUAUCCGGUUUGUUCAUAACCUUGUGAGAGUUUCUUUAGGUUUGACUACAUUUUCUUAACAGUUUCAAGAGUAGAGUUGAAUGUCAGGGCAAUUUCAGCUACAAACCUCUUUGGCACUUUACAAGUUUUCUCAUGGUUCCAAAAAUCUUACUAGUAUAUACAGCAUGAAGUAUAUUAAAAAAAAAAAAAACAAAAAAAAAAAAAAAAAAAAAACAAAAAAACAAAAAAAAACAAAAAAAAACCAAAAAAACAAACAAAAAAACCCCAACAAGAAGUAGAAUCUGGCAGAGCCUAAUUUAAAUUUCUACUCUGAGAUACUGGUCUGGAAAACCUUCCUUGACAUACCAGCUGGUAUCUGUCUUUCAGCACGCCAAAACCAACAGCACACCAUCUUAAUCGUUCAAUAUGUCUCUUUGGAAAAGCACAACAGUUUACAAGUCUGAGUUGGCAAACUCAGUUGUGGAUGAGGGUAGGUGUGCAGAGUAGGGAUAAACAGAAAGGAAAAGAACAGAACAAAGCUGGGCAGUAACUUCUGUUCCAAACUGUGAAAGACUGAAAUAGCUGAACUGGUUUAUGACUAGUAUUAUAGGCAGUGCACUGUUUCAUUUAUCAUUAAGCAAAAUGAUGUAAUAAAAUCACAAGUCCACUGAAAAUGUGAAAGUGUGUCAGUUUGGUUUCAUUGAAGUUCUUCUUUAGGAUAAGGGGUAUUGAGCAAUCGCACAGCUUUCUUUGUAUGUUUAAAAUGUGUGCUCAAGAGUUCAUGGCUGCAUCUGAUCAGUUUAUCAAGGCAUUACUGCAAAUUUGUCCAAAAUAAUCUAGAUCUAUUACUGUCACUUACACUGACACAUCAUGAUUCAUUAGUACUAUUACAGAUGAUAGUGCAGAGUAUUUCACUUAGCACUCUGUAUCACUACCCUUUCCUAAUCUUAGUUGUUCUUAACUAGGAGAGGAGUUGGGUCAGCUCAUUGGUUUUAUCAGCACUGUGGCCUAUGACUUUUACAAACUCCAGAACUGCUCCCUUUCAAAAAGGAGUAAAGCCAGGGGGACACUUAUAUUUUAAUAUAACUGAAGAAUAUCAUAAGUGGCUGAAAAAUCUGCUAGGAUACACUGCCAGUUUAGCAGUUCCUUCACAAUGCAGGUGAAGGCAUUUGGGAAAGCUUUGUCAAAGUGUUUUUGAAAAUAAUUUGUUAUAGUGCUGUUAGGUACUUUUAAUGUCCAGGAGUUCACACUGAACUCCUGAUUCAGUGUGAAAAUAG